UUCAAGUGGAGAGUUUGAUCCUGGCUCAGAACGAACGCUGGCGGCGUGCCUAACACAUGCAAGUCGAACGAGAAAGUCCCUUCGGGGAUGAGUAAAGUGGCGAACGGGUGAGUAACGCGUGGGUAAUCUACCUCCCAGAGGGGGAUAACCUGCCGAAAGGCGGGCUAAUACCGCAUGACGUAACUGGUUCAUAUGAGCCGGUUACCAAAGACAGCCUCUGCUUGCAAGCUGUCGCUGGAAGUUGAGCCCGCGUCCCAUUAGCUAGUUGGCGGGAUAACAGCCCACCAAGGCUACGAUGGGUAGCCGACCUAAGAGGGUGAUCGGCCACACUGGGACUGAGACACGGCCCAGACUCCUACGGGAGGCAGCAGUGGGGAAUAUUGCGCAAUGGGCGAAAGCCUGACGCAGCAACGCCGCGUGAGUGAUGAAGGCCUUCGGGUCGUAAAGCUCUGUCAGGUGGGAAUAAAUAGGUUGAGUUAAGAGCUCUGCUUAUAGACAGUACCACCAAAGGAAGCACCGGCCAACUCUGUGCCAGCAGCCGCGGUAAUACAGAGGGUGCUAGCGUUGUUCGGA
Molecule: ribosomal RNA, 573 nt
Filed under: Candidatus Poribacteria bacterium
Lineage: Bacteria; Candidatus Poribacteria
Description: bacterial SSU rRNA
Rfam family: Bacterial small subunit ribosomal RNA
Source: RNAcentral